Molecule: long non-coding RNA, 1528 nt
Organism: Corvus hawaiiensis (hawaiian crow)
Lineage: Eukaryota; Metazoa; Chordata; Aves; Passeriformes; Corvidae
Exons: 2
Source: RefSeq, a predicted model, not a curated record
CGUGGGGAGGCAGGGGUUGGAGAAGGGAGCUCAGUGACCAGAUGCUUGGCUUUACAGAAUCUCCCCAGGUAUCCUAGCAAGUGUAAGACUGGAUGUCACCUUUCCUGUGCCUCAGGCCUAUUUAAUUUUUCUUCUCUCUUUCUAGGCCUUUCUUGCUGUUUUGAAGUGUUUUGCUUGCAUACUUUAUAUCAUAGUAUAGGUAUAAUAUAAUGCUGAUCAAAACCUCAACAAACCUGCCUUACACAUAUAAGAUCUUCUGGUGAUCUCACCUAAGUGACCCUCAAGAAAACCCCAUAAAACAGGCAAAUUGUUGUGAAUCAAGAAAAGAAGAAACUACUUCUUUGGAGUGUACUUGUUACUGAUCCUGCUGUCAGUGUGAAUGCCCUGCACCCUGGUGUUCCUGAGCACAGAACUGCAGAAGGGCGUCAGUGAGUAACAGAGACAUAGGAAUUAUUUCAGCUACUGCCGUUUCUGGACUGAAUCAAAGGGUGGGUUGUUUUCGAAACGUCACACUUCGUGUUUGAAUAGACCAGCGACUGCUACACCCACCCGGGAGCCCCACACCUUCCUCAGUGGAGAGCAAAGCACAGCACACACUGUUACCAGGAGGAAAGGCAGAACAGGGUACAGAGGCUCAGGGUUUGGUGCCUGUUUUGGUGGAGUUAGAAGACCUGCAGUACACAUCUUGCACAGAUGAGAAGCAGCAUUGCAGCUGUUCUUGUCUUUUUUCCCCUCUGCAUUUUUUUUAAAGCAUUCUUAGCAUUUCCACUUUCUAGCUGAGGCUGCCUUCUAGAAAUCUGAGGAACUAUCAUCACUUUUUGAUUGUUGUUGAUUUCCAAAAUUUGCUUAUGCUCCUCUGCAUAAGCUCUGCAGGCUAAAUAUGUUAUUGGUUUGUUUUCAAAGAUUAAUCCAGUGUAGAGUCCCUCUUCUCCAACCCCCUGUUGCUGCUUCAGUGCUGUGGCUCUCUAUUUUGAUGCUGCUACACCGCAGCUUGUUCUUGUUGCUGCUCACAACUACAUCUCUUGAUGGGCUGGGAGCCACCUCCAGCUAUGCAAAUGGAGGUUUUAGGAGCACCUUCUCCAGAUUUUAAUCCUACGCAGUUAACUUCUCCUGGAAUCCAGGAUCUCUGUGGACAUGCCAGAUAUGCCUGCUGUAACUUGAAUUGGUGAUGUUCUUCCUCAUGUGCAGAAGGCGCAAUGUUUUUCUGGACUGAGUUGUGGUUCUGUGUUUUGUACUUUGUUUUAAAACUAAACUACCACAGCUUCAUGAUUUUUGUUUUAAAUGUGGCAAGCUCUGUAAGGGUUGGGUAAAGACUGACAGAUGUAAGACAUUUAAAAUUCACAUGGAAUACCAUUUUAUGCUUUCAAUUACCCUUCUCAUCUCUCUAAUAAUUUGUCAAACUGCCCGAUUUUAUCUCUGUGUUCAGAUUAUACCCAUCUUCCUGUUCUACUGCAAAUCCCCAUCCUAUAUACUUUGUAGUAAACUUUAUCUCAUUUUACAUUAUCAUUAAAUGACCUUUAUUUUCAAA